CGAGCGGCGAACGGGUGAGUAACACGUGGGUGAUCUGCCUUGCACUUCGGGAUAAGCCUGGGAAACUGGGUCUAAUACCGGAUAUGACCCCGGAAUGCAUGUUCUGGGGUGGAAAGAUUUAUCGGUGCGAGAUGGGCCCGCGGCCUAUCAGCUUGUUGGUGAGGUAACGGCUCACCAAGGCGACGACGGGUAGCCGACCUGAGAGGGUGACCGGCCACACUGGGACUGAGACACGGCCCAGACUCCUACGGGAGGCAGCAGUGGGGAAUAUUGCACAAUGGGCGCAAGCCUGAUGCAGCGACGCCGCGUGCGGGAUGACGGCCUUCGGGUUGUAAACCGCUUUUGACAGGGACGAAGCGCAAGUGACUGUACCUGUAGAAUAAGGACCGGCCAACUACGUGCCAGCAGCCGCGGUAAUACGUAGGGUCCGAGCGUUGUCCGGAAUUACUGGGCGUAAAGAGCUUGUAGGCGGUUCGUCGCGUCGUUUGUGAAAACUUGGGGCUCAACCUUAAGCUUGCAGGCGAUACGGGCGGACUAGAGUACUUCAGGGGAGACUGGAAUUCCUGGUGUAGCGGUGAAAUGCGCAGAUAUCAGGAGGAACACCGGUGGCGAAGGCGGGUCUCUGGGAAGUAACUGACGCUGAGAAGCGAAAGCAUGGGUAGCAAACAGGAUUAGAUACCCUGGUAGUCCAUGCCGUAAACGGUGGGUACUAGGUGUGGGGCUCCUUCCACGGACUCCGUGCCGUAGCUAACGCAUUAAGUACCCCGCCUGGGGAGUACGGCCGCAAGGCUAAAACUCAAAGAAAUUGACGGGGGCCCGCACAAGCGGCGGAGCAUGUGGAUUAAUUCGAUGCAACGCGAAGAACCUUACCUGGGUUUGACAUACACCGGAAACCUGCAGAGAUGUAGGCCCCCUUGUGGUCGGUGUACAGGUGGUGCAUGGCUGUCGUCAGCUCGUGUCGUGAGAUGUUGGGUUAAGUCCCGCAACGAGCGCAACCCUUAUCUUAUGUUGCCAGCGCGUAAUGGCGGGGACUCGUGAGAGACUGCCGGGGUCAACUCGGAGGAAGGUGGGGACGACGUCAAGUCAUCAUGCCCCUUAUGUCCAGGGCUUCACACAUGCUACAAUGGCCGGUACAGAGGGCUGCGAUACCGCGAGGUGGAGCGAAUCCCUUAAAGCCGGUCUCAGUUCGGAUCGGGGUCUGCAACUCGACCCCGUGAAGUUGGAGUCGCUAGUAAUCGCAGAUCAGCAACGCUGCGGUGAAUACGUUCCCGGGCCUUGUACACACCGCCCGUC
Molecule: ribosomal RNA, 1293 nt
Filed under: Nocardia sp.
Lineage: Bacteria; Bacillati; Actinomycetota; Actinomycetes; Mycobacteriales; Nocardiaceae
Description: bacterial SSU rRNA
Rfam family: Bacterial small subunit ribosomal RNA
Source: RNAcentral